GAUGGGGCGGGACAGACUCGGUCAGAGCUCGGGAACAGCUCCAGAGCCACUCGUGCCCAGAGUGGAUUCACUGUCACACAUUCCCUGCAAGAACGUUUGUGAGAGGAAAAGCAAAGUGCAAGCCUGAGAACUCUUGGAGGUCCAAAGGAGCUGCUCCUGCCUCCUUGUUCACACCAGAGAGGGGCUUGGAGUCUGUCCAGUGCUUCCAUGAACUCCAGUUCCAUCCUGCUGCUGCCCACAGGUCUCCAUACUUUAAAUCAUUAUAUCCUGAUUAAAGUAUGCCAGCAACACACCCCUUCAAAAGAAAAAGCUUUUAGUUCAACGUGAGAUAUAUGGCAUUUGGGGAAAAAAGGCUUGACUUGCAUAGUUCUGAUCUCAGUUGCUGAUUCAGUGCUGUUCCUGGGAUAUAUCUUCUUGCUCGUGUCUUGGGCUUAGGUAAGUAGACCAGUACUCUCUAUACCAUUUUGGUUUUUUACCCAUUUGCUUUACAGAAUGGUUUCAGGGAUAUAAUUAGGUAAGCAGUGUGAAAAGUGUAUUCCCAGAUGCUUUUUGGGCAGUUCUUCCUGAGGUAACCACCAACAGCCUCUCUCAGCUUAAUGAUGUCUACUGUUGGCAGUGCUGCUGCCAGCGAGUGAGGUUAAUGUCAGGAAAUAAAAUAAAAUCUGCUUAGUAAACA
This 676-nucleotide long non-coding RNA is filed under the name Zonotrichia albicollis (white-throated sparrow). RNAcentral's name for it is "lncRNA (ENSZALG00000001419.1)". The record is from RNAcentral. Lineage: Eukaryota; Metazoa; Chordata; Aves; Passeriformes; Passerellidae.